RNAcentral lists this ribosomal RNA (440 nucleotides) under Hafnia sp. CK39. RNAcentral describes it as "bacterial SSU rRNA". It matches the Rfam family "Bacterial small subunit ribosomal RNA", at positions 929 to 1355 of the family's 1533-position model. Lineage: Bacteria; Pseudomonadati; Pseudomonadota; Gammaproteobacteria; Enterobacterales; Hafniaceae. The record is from RNAcentral.
CCUGCCCGGGGCGCGCCCCGGGCGGGGCGGGGGCACGGGGGGAACGCGAAGAACCUUACCUACUCUUGACAUCCAGAGAAUUUGCUAGAGAUAGCUUAGUGCCUUCGGGAACUCUGAGACAGGUGCUGCAUGGCUGUCGUCAGCUCGUGUUGUGAAAUGUUGGGUUAAGUCCCGCAACGAGCGCAACCCUUAUCCUUUGUUGCCAGCGAGUCAUGUCGGGAACUCAAAGGAGACUGCCGGUGAUAAACCGGAGGAAGGUGGGGAUGACGUCAAGUCAUCAUGGCCCUUACGAGUAGGGCUACACACGUGCUACAAUGGCAUAUACAAAGAGAAGCGAACUCGCGAGAGCAAGCGGACCUCAUAAAGUAUGUCGUAGUCCGGAUUGGAGUCUGCAACUCGACUCCAUGAAGUCGGAAUCGCUAGUAAUCGUAGAUCAGAAU